UUUGACCUCUCAUGAGGUUCCUUCCAUGGAAACUUUGAUCUCCCGCAUGAUACGUGUUCCAACUCUUCAAACUCCAGAAACUCUUGCUGUAAUGGAACCAUCUGUCAUGGUUGCCACCCGAGGAAGAGGAGGUCGUGGAACUAGAGGGGGUGGACGUGGAGGUCGUGGGCGUCCUCAGUGUACGUAUUGUAAAAGGAUGGGUCAUACCCAAGAAAACUGCUACACUUUACAUGGAUUUCCUGCCAAAACAGCCAAUGUCUCCCAGGCAGAGACUACUGACUCCAAGUUCACUGAGGACGAGUAUCAAGAGUACCUAACAGCUUGGCACAGUCAUCUCAAGCUCCAAGUACAUCAACUGUUUGCAUCUCUCAAUCCAUGGAAGGUCACAAUUCAUGGGUAAUUGACUCUGGUGCUUCUGAUCACAUUUCUGGAGCGUGGCUCGGGGAGACCGAUUGGAGAAGGAUAUGAAGCGGGCGGAUUAUACCAUUUUGGAUCUCGUCCACGUGUGUCCUGUGUUGCAGCCCCCAAUCCUAAAAUGUUACAUGAUCGGCUUGGUCACCCUCACCUGUCCAAGUUAAAGAAAAUGUUUCCUGAACUUAGUCGUCUCCAGACUUUAGAAUGUGAGUCAUGUCAACUAGGAAAACAUGUUAGAUCUACCUUUCCUAAAAGAUCUCAAUCAAAGUGUACUUCUAGUUUUUCUGUCAUCCAUUCCGAUAUCUGGGGACCUAGUCGUGUCUCAUCUUUUGGCUUUAGGUAUUUUGUUACUUUCAUUGAUGAAUAUUCGAGAUGUACUUGGGUUUAUCUUAUGAAAGAUCGUUCUGAAUUA
Vigna unguiculata (cowpea) is the source of this 826-nucleotide long non-coding RNA. Lineage: Eukaryota; Viridiplantae; Streptophyta; Magnoliopsida; Fabales; Fabaceae. The record is from RefSeq and is a predicted model, not a curated record.